Molecule: ribosomal RNA, 751 nt
Filed under: Flagellimonas lutimaris
Lineage: Bacteria; Pseudomonadati; Bacteroidota; Flavobacteriia; Flavobacteriales; Flavobacteriaceae
Description: bacterial SSU rRNA
Rfam family: Bacterial small subunit ribosomal RNA
Source: RNAcentral
UUUUUGAUGACGACCGGCGCACGGGUGCGGAACGCGUAUGGAACCUGCCCCUGUCAGGGGAAUAGCCCAGGGAAACUUGGAUUAAUGCCCCAUGGUAUCGUUAUAUCGCAUGAUAUUACGAUUAAAGAUUUAUCGGACAGGGAUGGCCAUGCGUACCAUUAGUUAGUUGGUGAGGUAACGGCUUACCAAGGCAGCGAUGGUUAGGGGCCCUGAGAGGGGGAUCCCCCACACUGGUACUGAGACACGGACCAGACUCCUACGGGAGGCAGCAGUGAGGAAUAUUGGACAAUGGGCGGGAGCCUGAUCCAGCCAUGCCGCGUGCAGGAUGACGGCCCUAUGGGUUGUAAACUGCUUUUAUACGGGAAGAAACGCACCUACGUGUAGGUGUCUGACGGUACCGUAAGAAUAAGGACCGGCUAACUCCGUGCCAGCAGCCGCGGUAAUACGGAGGGUCCGAGCGUUAUCCGGAAUCAUUGGGUUUAAAGGGUCCGUAGGCGGGCCUGUAAGUCAGGGGUGAAAGUUUGUGGCUCAACCAUAAAAUUGCCUUUGAUACUGCAGGUCUUGAGUCAUGGUGGGGUUGCCGGAACAUGUGGUGUAGCGGUGAAAUGCAUAGAUAUCACAUAGAACACCGAUCGCGAAGGCAGGUGACCAACCAUGUACUGACGCUGAUGGACGAAAGCGUGGGUAGCGAACGGGAUUAGAUACCCCGGUAGUCCACGCCGUAAACGAUGGAUACUAGCUGUGGGGACUU